GACGAACGCUGGCGGCGUGCUUAACACAUGCAAGUCGUACGGUAAGGCCCUUUCGGGGGUACACGAGUGGCGAACGGGUGCGUAACACGUGCGUAACCUGCCCACAACUUUGGGAUAACGCUAGGAAACUGGUGCUAAUACUGGAUAUGUUCUCCUGCUGCAUGGUGGGGGUUGGAAAGUUCCGGCGGUUGUGGAUGGACUCGCGGCCUAUCAGCUUGUUGGUGGGGUAGUGGCCUACCAAGGCGGCGACGGGUAGCCGGCCUGAGAGGGUGACCGGCCACAUUGGGACUGAGAGACGGACCAGACUCCUACGGGAGGCAACAGUGGGGAAUAUUGCACAAUGGGCGCAAGCCGGAUGCAGCAGCGCCGCGUGCGGGAUGACGGCCUGCGGGUUGUAAACCGCUUUCAGCAGGGACGAAGCUUUUUGUGACGGUACCUGCAGAAGAAGCACCGGCUAACUACGUG
This 465-nucleotide ribosomal RNA is filed under the name uncultured bacterium. Its description in RNAcentral is "partial 16S ribosomal RNA". It matches the Rfam family "Bacterial small subunit ribosomal RNA", at positions 28 to 507 of the family's 1533-position model. The record is from RNAcentral.